UGAAAGAUAGUCAGCUAAACUCAGUGCACAAAUGACAUAUGUAUAAAUGUUGAAUACAUUUAACAAAACUCUUAACUUCACUACUGGCUCAGUAAUGUCACAUAAAUUAGGACACAUUUAUUUUUCAUCAGAGUUAGCUAACUUUUAUUUGGUCAUAAAUUUUAAAGUUAAACCUUGAAAAUAUUGAGUUUUUGAAAUUAAUUUUGGAACUUGAAAUUGUGUUAAUUUGACAUACAUUUUACUUGAAAAAAUUUGAUGUUUUGUAAGUGGAAGUGUUGCCUGUUUGAAAACUUAAAAAUAUCUUAAGAUUAAAAUUUUAAAAGCUAAGUUAAAAUUUAUGAUCAAACGCUAGCUCAAUAUUGCUUAAUUGAUAGACAUCUUAAUCAAUUAGUGCACUUAAUUUAUGAUUGGAUUAACUAAUGCAGGG
This 427-nucleotide long non-coding RNA is filed under the name Solanum tuberosum (potato). RNAcentral describes it as "long non-coding RNA (STUB_LNC006718)". The record is from RNAcentral. Lineage: Eukaryota; Viridiplantae; Streptophyta; Magnoliopsida; Solanales; Solanaceae.